UACGUACUCCGCAAGUGGUAUCCGCUUAUAUUGGGCCUAAAGAGUUCGUAGCCGGUCCAUUAAGUCUUUAGUGAAAUCAGUUCGCUCAACGGAUUGAAUUGCUAAAGAUACUGGUGGGCUCGAGGCCGGGAGACGUCAAGGGAAUUUCCGGGGUAGCGGUGAAAUGCUAUGAUCCUGGAAGGACUACCAGUAGCGAAGGCGCUUGACGAGAACGGACCUGACGGUGAGGAACGAAAGCUGGGGGAGCGACCGGGAUUAGAUACCCGUGUA
This 270-nucleotide ribosomal RNA is filed under the name uncultured prokaryote. RNAcentral describes it as "partial 16S ribosomal RNA". It matches the Rfam family "Archaeal small subunit ribosomal RNA", at positions 474 to 743 of the family's 1478-position model. The record is from RNAcentral.